UGAGUCUAUUAAAAAUAAAGCUGAUGUGAACUCUCUAUUUCUCUCAGGCAAAUUUCCUAGGAGUGUAGUGGCUGGGUCAUUUAGUAGGCGUGUGUAUAACUUUACAAGAAACUACUUGGGAUAUUGGGACUUAGAAUCAGAAAUACGUAUUUGGUCUUUGUUCCUCUCAGUUGCUGGCACAGAGCUCCUAAACUCUUGGAAUUUCCUAAGUGAAGAGAAUGAUAGAGGUGCCUUUGUUAACAGGUGACUUUUUUGGAAAACCCCUGGGUAACCUAAGGAUAGGCUAGUUGCCUGGGGAACCAAUGAUGACUAACAGGUCGAACUUUCAGUCCUACUCCAACUUCCUGGGAGGACAGAGGGGCUGAAGGUUGAGUUCAAUCACAGGGGGCCAGUGAUUUAAUCAACCAUGCCUAUGUGACAAAGCCUGACUACAAUUCCAAAAAGACAAGGUUUAGAGAGCUUCGGGAUUGGUUAACGCAUGGAGAUUGGUGGAGCGUGGAGCUCUCAGAGGGCAUGGACGUUCUAUGCCCCUUUCCCCAUACCUUGCCCUUUGCCAGACUUUGCCUGGAUUCCCUCUCUGUAUCACGGCCUACAAUCUCUGUCCAGGCAUUAAGUUGGGGUACACGAAGAACUCACCACACCUGUUUCCCAUCUAUCAGCGAUCACUCUCCUUUGUUUUCUAAUAUCCAUUGUCUUGAAAAUCAUUGAUUCAUGUCUUUCACCUGAAUGUUUGGUUAUUUCAGGAGGGAAGGUCAAUAAACUCCCAGUUAUUCCAUUUUGACUGGAACAACAGAAGUCUAAAGUAACAAUUUGAAAACAAAUACAGAACAACACAAAUAUUUUUUAAUUAAGGCCAUAGCAAUAAGUCUAGGUCUCCCUGAUUUUGACUCCAAGAGGGCUGCACUAUUCUGACUCCUACUGGAGAGUCUCUGCUCCCACUCAUCUCUGAUUCUUUACCUCCCAUGUCUUGUUGAGAACUCAGUCUAUCUUUUAGAAAAUGCCCUGUACCUUCUUCCCACCGUAGGGCAAUGGACAACCACAAAUCAAGGCAUACGAAGAUGAUUCUUCAUAAACAUUCUAAUUUUGAGAAAACAGUUUGUUACAUUACUUUUAUAUACUGAUCUAUGUCCACCUGCUUGUGUGAAUAUACUGUUAUCUGAAGAUUUGUUCAGCAAACCUUUGCAGUGCACACAUUUACGAGUUACACAAUAUAGCAGUACUAUCAGAGGAGCAAGAGUUUAAACAAAAGUUGACAACAGAAUUGUAAAUGGAGAAAAAAAUUUUUUUCUAAAAGUAAAGGAGGUCCAUAUGUGAGAUGCAUAUGAAAGAUGUAUUUUCUCACUGAAAAAAUAAAAUGGAGUUCACCAGAAAACUUUUUAAGAGUUAAUAAACAAGUUCAGCCAGGUUGCAAGACACAAGAUCAAUAAAAAAAAGUCAAUUGUAUUUCUACAUAUUAGCAAUAGACAGUCUAAAAAUGACAUUAAGAGGAGUUCUAGCUGUAACACAAUGGAAUUGGCAGCAUCUCUGAAGCACUGGGUUGAAGGUUCAAUCCCUGGCCUGGCACAGUGCGUUAAGCAUCUGGUGACCUACGCCAUGGCUAAGCUGUGGCGUAGGUUGCAAUUGCAGCUCAGAUCCUAUCCCUGGCCCAGAAACUCCAUAUUCCAUGGGGCAGCCAACAAAGAAAAAGAUAAAAAUUAAGAAAAUUGAAAAUGACAUUAAGAAAAGAUCUCUACUUACAAUGGAAUCAAAAAGAAUAAAAUCUUAGCAAGGAAUUAACUGAAGAAGUUCAAGAACUUGUGCAGAACUAACAUUGUUGAAAGAAAUUAAAGACAUAAAUACAUGGAAAGGCAUCACAUGUUCAUGGAUCAGAAGAUUAAAUACUGUUAAGAUGAGCAUACUUCUCAAGCUGAGCUACAGAUUUAACAUAAUCCCUAUUUGUUUCUCCAAAAAGAUAUACAAAUGACCAAUGAGCACAUGAAAAAAUGCUCUUUAUUAAUCACGAGUAUGUAAAUCGAAAGUAUGAAUUACAGUGCAAUUCCACUGCAAACCCACCAGGACAGCUACAAUCAAAAAGAUGUAACAAGGAACAGAUAACAAGGAUGCAAAUAAAUUGGGACACUCACACAUUGCUGAAGGGAUUGUAAAAUGGUGCAGCCCCUGUAGAAAAAGUUUUCCAGUUACCAUGUGAUCUAGCAAUUCUACUCUAAGGUAUAUGUUCAAGAAAAUUAAAAAUACACGUCCACACAAAAAACGUGUAUAUUAAUGUUCACAGCAACAUUACUCAUAAAAGCCCAAAAGCAGAAACAACCCAAAUGUCCAUCAAAUGAUGCAUGGGUAAACAAAAUAUGGUAUAUUCCUUUAAUGGAAUGUCAUUUAGCAAUAAAAAUAGUAGUACUGAUAUAUAUUACAAAAUGAAUGAACCUUGAAAACUAUGCUAAAUGAAGAAAGCCCAUCACGGAGUUCCCAUCGUGGCACAGUGGUUAACGAAUCCGACUAGGAACCAUGAGGUUGCGGGUUCAGUCCCUGCCCUCGCUCAGUGGGUUAACGAUCCGGCGUUGCUGUGAGCUGUGGUGUAGGUUGCAGACGCGGCUCGGAUCCCGCGUUGCUGUGGCUCUGGCGUAGGCCAGUGGCUACAGCUCCGAUUAGACCCCUAGCCUGGGAACCUCCAUAUGCUGCGGGAGCAGCCCAAGAAAUAGCAAAAAAGACAAAAAAAAAAAAAAAAAAAAAAAAAAAAAAAGAAAGCCCAUCACAAAAGUCCACAGGUAUAAUUCCAUUUAUAUGAAAUGUCCAGAACAAGAAAAUCCAUAGAGACAGAAAGCAGAUUUAUGGUUGCCACAGGCUGAGAGGUGAGGAAAAUGGGGACUAACUGCUAAUAGGUACAAUUUUUGAGAGCAGAUGGAGAUGUUCUAAAAUUAGAUCAUGGUAAUGGUUGCACUACUCUCUGACUAUACUAAAAACCAUGAAAUUGUGCACUUUAUUAAUUUUUUAAUUAUUUAUUUAUUUAUUUUUGUCUUUUCUAGGGCCGCACCCUCGGCAUAUGGAGGUUCCCAGGCUAGGGGUUUAAUCAGAGCUAUAGACACUGGCCUACGCCACUGCCACAGCAAUGCCAGAUCCGAGUCUCAUCUGCAACCUACACCACAGCUCAUGGCAAUGCUGGAUCCUUAACCCAGUGAGUGAGGCCAGGGAUCGAACCUUCAACCUCAUGGUUUCUAGUUGGAUUCGUUAACCACUGAGCCAAGACGGGAACUCCGAAAUUGUGCACUUUAAAAGGGUGAAUUUUAUGGCAUGUGAAUUACACUUCAAUAGAGUUGUUAUAAUAAAUAAAAUAAUGUUUAAUUAUUUGAAAUAAACUCAAAAAGCUAAAAUUGAAUGUAUUUCACAAUUUGCCUUCAAAUCUACUACAAGGUUUGGUUUCAUAAAGUGACUAACAUUUUCUUGUGUUCAAAAUCUACUAGUUUUUGGAGUUCCCAUCGUGGCUCAGUGAAAAUGAAUCUGACUAGGAACUAUGAGGUUGUGGGUUAGAUCCCUGGCCUCGCUCAGUGGGUUAAGGAUCUAGCAUUGCUGUGGCUGUGGUGUAGACUGGCAGCUACAGCUCUAAUUGGACCUCUAGACUGGGAGCCUCCAUAUGCCACGGGUGCUGCCCUAAAAAGAUUAAAAAAGAAAAAAAAAUAAUCUACUAUGUUUUCAAUCAACACAAUCAGUGUUGCUCUCCGUUUCCUCAAUUAGCAAAAUUUAAAAUAUUUAGACUGAUUUGGUAAUAGAAUAAGCUUAUUGGGUAUUAUUCUUCUAGGAAAAAUAUCUGUAAUUUUUCUAAUAACUCAGUCUUCUAACUAUCCACCUUUAUAAAGAUCUUAUCCAUUGUUAAUCUAAGAUACAAAAGUGGAAAAUGUAGAGUGCCAGGGAAAAGUAAAACAUAAUGCCAGUAGAGUGAGAAAAAUAUACGAGGGUAUGAACUUUCUACUUGGGUUUUUUUUUUUUUAAUUUAAUUUUAUUUUAUGGCCACACCCACAGUCUAUGAAUCUGAGCUGCAGUUGUGGCCUAAAUGGCAGCUGCAGCAAUGCUGGAUCCUUUUAACCCACUGUGCCACCAGACCAAGGAUUGAACCCAUGCCGCUGCAGUGACCUGAGCCACUGCAGUCAGAUUCUUAACCCAAUGCACCAUGGCAGGAACUCCUCAAUUUAUUUUAAUAUGUUUUCUUUCUUUGCAUUAAACACAUUCGAGGGAAGAAAGCCCUUCUCAUUCUCUUGAGAACAGAAUGAACAAGCUAUUUCCCUAACUUGUGUAAAGAUGCAUCACUAGCCCAUAGGCUAUUAAUGUAAGUAUAGGUUUUAAUGGGCCAUUGAGUUAUGCUAUGAAAGAAAUUUAAGAAAAGGACAUUUGAUUUGUGUGACUAAAUAAAAAAAAUAGCUGAAGCCACGUAGGGAGAGGUGAGAUAGGGGCUGGUGCAUGGGAUAUCAACAUAGGAAUAAAAUGUCGUAGAAAGUAGGAGCGUAGUGCCCAAGAAGCACCCAAUGAGUGGGCUCCCAGGAUUACUGGGAGGGCUUACUGGCCAGCCAGUAGCCAUAGCCUUCACAAAGGUAAACUCCAGGCCUCUGCACACACCUACUCUCUUGGCUGCCGUGCUGGCAGGCCUCCAGCUUGACAGCUGACUUCAGCUGAGUACAGAGGUUUCAUCCAAUGGCUUAAGUCUUGUCAAGGUCCCAGUAGGGCCUUAGGCACCUACCAGAGGGACAAGGGUGCUAAGCCAAGAAAAAGCCAUAUUCCCUGUACCACUGUGAUAUGCAAUGAUGUCCCUUCCUAAAACAUGAAAAGAGAAAACAAAGAAGAAAAGUCUUAAAUGAUGCAUUUAGCUAGCUUACUGAAUUGAUUAUUUACCUAUAGUCUCUCAACCCCCAAUUGACCCUUUUAUAGCUUCCAGUAUGGAUGCCAGGACUAGGACUCUGCAAGUCACGUUUCCCAGAUCCUUUUGCCCGCUGGCCGUCCAAUUUUGCCAUGAGGGGGCACGAGAGGGAGACUGGAAGGUGUGAGAAAGAGUGAGGGAUUCUUUCCUGACUUUUUUCCUGUUCCCAGCUGUAUCCACCCAGUUUGUUUCAGCACCCCCACCUUUACUUCCCUCUCACAGGUCUCAGAUGCUGGGUCCCCAGCUCCAGAGGGGCCCUUCCUCCUCGGAGGUGAACGACAAUCCCAAUAACCUCCCUUCCAUUUACCACGAGGUGGC
This 5218-nucleotide long non-coding RNA is filed under the name Sus scrofa (pig). RNAcentral describes it as "lncRNA (ENSSSCG00060033957.1)". Lineage: Eukaryota; Metazoa; Chordata; Mammalia; Artiodactyla; Suidae. The record is from RNAcentral.